UACGGGGGGGGCAAGCGUUGUUCGGAAUCAUUGGGCGUAAAGGGCGUGUAGGUGGUUCUGUAUGUCUACCGUGAAAGCGUACGGCUCAACCGUAUUUAGUCGGUAGAAACUGCAGGACUUGAGGCUGGGAGGGGCUGGUGGAAUUCCCCGUGUAGCGGUGAAAUGCGUAGAGAUGGGGGAGAACACUCGUGGCGAAGGCGGCCAGCUAGACCAGUUCUGACACUGAGGCGCGACAGCGUGGGGAGCAAACAGG
RNAcentral lists this ribosomal RNA (253 nucleotides) under uncultured bacterium. RNAcentral's name for it is "partial 16S ribosomal RNA". It matches the Rfam family "Bacterial small subunit ribosomal RNA", at positions 524 to 776 of the family's 1533-position model. The record is from RNAcentral.